Molecule: ribosomal RNA, 253 nt
Filed under: uncultured bacterium
Lineage: Bacteria
Description: partial 16S ribosomal RNA
Rfam family: Bacterial small subunit ribosomal RNA
Source: RNAcentral
GACAGAGGGUGCAAACGUUGUUCGGAAUUACUGGGCGUAAAGCGCGUGUAGGCGGUUCGGUAAGUCCGCUGUGAAAGUCGGGGGCUCAACCCUCGGAUGCCGGUGGAUACUGUCGAGCUUGAGUACGGAAGAGGCGAGUGGAAUUCCUGGUGUAGCGGUGAAAUGCGCAGAUAUCAGGAGGAACACCAAUUGCGAAGGCAGCUCGCUGGGACGUUACUGACGCUGAGACGCGAAAGCGUGGGGAGCAAACAGG